Non-coding RNA from Sesamum indicum (sesame), 4103 nucleotides. NCBI's taxonomy places the organism in Eukaryota, Viridiplantae, Streptophyta, Magnoliopsida, Lamiales, Pedaliaceae. The record is from RefSeq and is a predicted model, not a curated record.
CUUGAAGUUUCUUGAUAUCCACUCUCAUUUGUAAAAACCCUUCCCACCAUCAAACCCUUUCACCUUCAUUCCCCUUUUCCUCCCUCUAUUUAUUUCUCAACCCUGAAAAAUAGAAGGAAUGCAGAGGCUCCACUGCAAAAAACCCUUAAAAACAGAGAGGAGAGGUCAACAGAGGGGUUAGGGUUUAGUACCACUGACGGAGGGUGAUGUGAAAAAGGAGAACAUUAGGUGGUUUUGAUUUGGAUUUAUUACUCUGGUUGAUGGAAGCGAAGAUGUGUUCGUUCACGAAUCAGCACACCCAGGAGAAUCAGCAAUGGAGGUGGGUGCAAUACAAAAUUCCAAGAAAGAAAACCCUAGUAGGUUUGCAAAGCCAGAGCAGUAGAGAAGAAAGGGCAAGAAAAAAGGAAAAGAAAUUAAGUUGGCGACUUCUCUCUUCUCUCUGUUUGUAUCUAUUUAUGGCAUUAAGUGCAAGAAUCUUGCCCAAAGGAGGGAGCUGCUACUGACUGAGUUUCAAGAGAAGCACAAAACACUGAGUUCAGCUGGGUGGAACAAUAUCUCCUAGUGAAGGAAGCUUCAUCAUAUUGCACAUACAACAUGCAUGCACUGCUUCUGCUGCAUUCUGAUGGUUGCUCGAAAUCCUUAGGUUUGCGAACAAUGCAAAACUUUUUAGCUAUAGACAAGGCUGCUAAAAAGAAACAUGGUCCUUUUGAUGUACCAAAAUACGCGGAUCAGAUUCAAUCUAUGUGCCAAAGCAUGUAUGCUGGGUCAAAAGCUUGAAUAUGAAGUCUUUAGAGCACGGCCUCCUCUUUGGAAUGUGGUGCUUCAAAAUGAGGCUGCUAAUGCUGAUGAAGAUCUUGAGCAUUUUGAAGAUUGUGAGUUUAUUCCAACUGCAUACAGCGGGAUUUUGAGAAGCAUGGGUGCUUGAGUUUUACAUUUAAAAUCUAAAAAUGGCAUUGCAAAAUUUGAGCAUUACUUUGCGUGAACACUAUAUAAGAAUUAUAUUGAGAUAAGCAACUGGUACCUUUAUGCAGAUAUGUUCUAAGUUUUAUUUUAGUGUCACUGGGUUAGUCAUCGUUUCAUAUGUAUAUUUACUAGUAUGCUUCCUCAAUUUCAUGAGCAAUGGCAAUGCAGAUAAGGUAGGCUGGUGGAGCUCAUGGCACCUUGCCUCACAUGUGCACCCCUUGGUAGUUACAACCAUAUGGCAAUAUUCAUGAUUAUUGUUUGUGAGGUGCAUGAAAUUUGCUGCAUUUUUAUCUUUGGUUUGAGAUUAACAGGGCUGGUAAGAAAGAAACCUCUGAUGUGCUAAUAUACACGGAUCAAAUUCCUUCUAUGUGCCAAAGCAUGUGUGUGGGGUCAAGACCUCAAAUAUGAUUCUUCAUCUGAUUCAAGCACCAAGCACCGCCAAAGAAAGUGAGAGGUAUGAUGCAGUUGCUGCCGACCAAGCCCAUGUUCCACUUUCUCUCACUGCUCAAACUGUAGCAUCCCCUGUGAUCCAUGUGAUCGUGGCAGCAGUGAUAAGACAAAAUGGAAGUUUCUGGAAGUGUUGGACUGUUACAAAAUGAUCGAAAUGAAACGGAUGACUUGGAAGAUGCUUAUAUCCAUAUGCCAGAAGGUGAUCCUACUGCAAAAAUUAACUUACUGGAUUUUGUGUAUAGGACGUCAUUAAAGCUGAGAAGGAAAUGGAACAGUCUAAGAUGGAAAUUCCGCCAUUACCUUCCGAAAAUGCAUCUAAGUCUGGCAAGGCGAAAAUGAGUGAGUAUCAUUGACAAUGUCAGAAGUCCGGCACCAUAUUACAGCAUAUUAUAGGUCUCAGCAUUGGGUAGGCCAAGUCAGUAUUAUGUGUUGUCUGUUUUUUGGGGCUGAUGGCUGGAUUUUCGUUAUGAUUGAUUAAGAUAUUCAUGCAUGUAGUCCAUGGCCAUAAAGGGCCCUUAAUGUUAGUGUUUGCAUCUGAAUGCAUAUUUAUCAAAGACUUUUAUCAUUAUCAUAAACUCUAAAUCUAAUAAGCAGCCAACCAUGAAAGAAAAAAUUCGAUAUUGAAUCAUUUUGUUUGCAAAAAGCUAAAGAAUUUAUGGAUUGUCAUAAUAAAUAGUAAUGUCUCAUUUUCUGGCUUUUAGAUGAUUGAGUUGAUAGAUGGAGAAGAGAGCAAGUAUUUUGAUUUUUAUCUUUUUAUUUCGUGAAAGUUGUUGGAGCAUUUUAUGUUAUGAUUUAUCUAUGUCUUUCUUCUCUUGCUUAAGCUCCUUUCAGGAUCUUUUUUUGGUUGUUCCUUGUAUUUUAAGCUUUUUACUCUUUUGGUUUGGGAGAUGAGAUGGGUCAGUAGUGGUUGUAAUCUUGCUAAUUAUGCCUUCACCUCAUGAAGCUCGAUAUACAAAAAAGUCUCUUCUUAGGUAUGCUUCAAUGUUUUGAGAGCAAAUCAAAAGCAGGAAAAAAAAUCAAGCAGUGGAACAUACGAUGUGUGGAAACUCUUGCCAUUAUGUGCAGUGGAGAAGCUUACCUUUGAACCGGCCCCUAUACAUUAUACACCUUGUGGUGCUUGCAUCAAAAGGAAUGGUACGCCCUAUACCAUCGGAGCUGGUGAAACCCAUCGUAGCUGAUGGAAGUGGUCUUACAAAGGCAAGGAUGGGGAAAAAGAAAAAUGACGACGAAACUGAAGAAUGGUGGCUCCCAAUGCGACAAGUGUGAAGCGUGGCAUCAUCAAAUUUGUGCAUUUAUUCUAUGGUAGAAGAAAGAAUGGUGGACAGGCUGACUACACUUGUCCAAGUUGUUAUAUAGAAGAAGAGGUGACCAUGUGCCAUUACCGCAGAGUGCUGUUCUAGGAACCAAGGAUUUGCCUAAAACAAUUUUGAGUGAUCGCAUAGAGCAGCGAUUAUUUGCAAAGCUGAAACAAGAAAGGCAGGACACAGCAAGGCUUCAAAGCAAAAGUUAUGGUGCCUGGAGCAGAAGCAAUUGUACUAAGAGGUGGUGUCCAGUGGACAAGAAGUUGGAAGUUAGACCAGGAUUUCUUGAAAUUUUCCUAGAGGGAGAUUAUCCGGCAGAAUACCCCUAUAAAUCUAAGGUAAUACAAUUUAUUCAGAAAAUUAAAGGUGUUGAAGUGUGGCUAGUUGGGAUGUAUGUUCAAGAAUUUGGAUCCAAAUGUCAGCAGCCUAAGCAGCCUAAUCAUCACUGAGUCUACCUAUCUUACCUGGACUCACUUAAGUAUUUCAGGCCUGAGGUCAAAGCAAUGACUGGAGAGGUUUGCGAACAUUUUUGUACCACGAAACCUUUGGCAAGUAUUCUGGACCCAUUGUUCUUUUGCUACAUUGGAGUUUCAAUACCUGGUCUGUUUGUACCAUCACUUAUAUUUUCAGAUUGGAUACUUAGAAUACUGCAAAAAGCGUGGUUUCACAAGCUGUUAUAUAUGGGCUUGCCCUCUGAUGAAAGGGGAAGAUUACAUUUUGUAUUGCUACCCAGAAAUUCAGAAUACACCAAACUCGCAUAAACUAAGGGAGUAGUAAGGUUGAUGGUUGUUUGAUCAUGAGAAUGUAGAUUGCGAGUGGUGAGGUAAUUUGUCGCACUAUUUACUUGAAUUAUCGAGCUUUGUUUCAGUUACUUGUCCCUACUAAGAAAAGCUACAAGGGAAAAUAUUGCAGUUGAUCUUACUAACCUCUAUGACUAUUUUUGUGUCCACCAGUGAAUGUAAAGCAGAGGUAACUGCAACUCGAUUGCCAUACUUUGAUGAGAUUAUUGGUCUGGUGUUGCAGAGGACAUGAUCUAUCAACUGCAUGUGUAUUUUAUUUUUCUAAAUACUAUUCUAUUUUUAAUUUUGGUGAUUUAGUGGUGCUAUCGAGCUUUCUUGUUAUUGGUAGACGCUUUGGAUAGCCAAAAGAAAGAAAGAAAAGAAGAGAAGGGACAUUGGGGUUUUGGUGCUUUAAUCUUCGUUUCUUCUUUCUUAACCAACCUUGUCUCUCUUCAUGGUUGGAGACAGCGGCACCUGAAGAAAUAGUACUGCUUAUUAAGUGUAAUAAACAACAAUUGACUAGAGGAUCCGAGAGAAGGGGAAUAAGUUGAUUGACAUAUGCCAUGUGAUAUAAUUUCAUGUAUCCUUGAGGAAAUCUUUUUUCUUGCAA